RNAcentral lists this ribosomal RNA (253 nucleotides) under uncultured bacterium. RNAcentral's name for it is "partial 16S ribosomal RNA". It matches the Rfam family "Bacterial small subunit ribosomal RNA", at positions 524 to 776 of the family's 1533-position model. The record is from RNAcentral.
UACGAAGGGGGCUAGCGUUGCUCGGAAUCACUGGGCGGAAAGCGCACGUAGGCGGAUUUCUAAGUCAGGGGUGAAAUCCUGGAGCUCAACUCCAGAACUGCCUUUGAUACUGGGAAUCUCGAGUCCGGGAGAGGUGAGUGGAACUGCGAGUGUAGAGGUGAAAUUCGUAGAUAUUCGCAAGAACACCAGUGGCGAAGGCGGCUCACUGGCCCGGUACUGACGCUGAGGUGCGAAAGCGUGGGGAGCAAACAGG